GGGCCCGUAGCUCAGCCUGGACAGAGCGGCAUGAGAAGAAGCAUUUUGAAUGUGGUUCUUCUCCCGCAAGCCUUCUAAGCUGAAGGUCAUGGGUUCAAAUCCCAUCGGGCCCG
Molecule: transfer RNA, 113 nt
Filed under: Candidatus Micrarchaeota archaeon CG1_02_49_24
Lineage: Archaea; Nanobdellati; Microcaldota
Description: tRNA-OTHER
Rfam family: tRNA
About the family: Transfer RNA (tRNA) molecules are approximately 80 nucleotides in length. Their secondary structure includes four short double-helical elements and three loops (D, anti-codon, and T loops).
Source: RNAcentral